Molecule: long non-coding RNA, 515 nt
Organism: Xenopus laevis (African clawed frog)
Lineage: Eukaryota; Metazoa; Chordata; Amphibia; Anura; Pipidae
Exons: 3
Source: RefSeq, a predicted model, not a curated record
AUGGGAGAGGAGGUGCAUAGGCACCAAGUGGUUAAACUCUGCGGACUGAUGGAGCUGCAGUAACUUUAUCGCCACCUGCUGGGGAAGUUUUGUAUAGCGCGAUGUUCGAACCCGAGAAAUCAGCACGUGACUCACUUCCGGUCCCAUCAAUCUCCCUUGAACUUUCUGCUGCUGCUGCUAUUGGUGUUGUUGUUCAGCUGCCCAGGUGCCCCGUGUUCCCACACAAUAUACAACAGCAGCAGCAGCAGCAGCAGCUCAUUCUCUCAGUGCUGAGCCCAUGGGAAACCUACAAAUUGUACCAGGCUGCAUGCUUAACGCGUUUCGUGGCUUCCUCAGAAGCUUCUACGUGUAACUGCUGGUAUCGCGGUGGAUGUGAUGCACAUGGGAGACACUUGUGAUACUGGACAAGUUCGGGUGGAGAAGACCUUCUGGACUUAAAAGUGGCAUAAAUGCUGUGCAACAGGCAGGUGCUGGUUUUUAUAUAACUUUUUUUCAAGCUCUUUUACAUGACAAUG